This 253-nucleotide ribosomal RNA is filed under the name uncultured bacterium. RNAcentral describes it as "partial 16S ribosomal RNA". It matches the Rfam family "Bacterial small subunit ribosomal RNA", at positions 524 to 776 of the family's 1533-position model. The record is from RNAcentral.
UACGUAGGGGGCAAGCGUUGUCCGGAAUCAUUGGGCGUAAAGAGCGUGUAGGCGGCCAGAUAAGUCCGCUGUGAAAUCUCGAGGCUCAACUUCGAGCUGUCGGUGGAAACUGUCUGGCUAGAGUCCGGAAGAGGAGAAUGGAAUUCCUGGUGUAGCGGUGAAAUGCGCAGAUAUCGGGAGGAACACCUAUGGCGAAGGCAGCUCGCUGGGACGUUACUGACGCUGAGACGCGAAAGCGUGGGGAGCAAACAGG